This 330-nucleotide ribosomal RNA is filed under the name uncultured eukaryote. Its description in RNAcentral is "partial 18S ribosomal RNA". It matches the Rfam family "Eukaryotic small subunit ribosomal RNA", at positions 1470 to 1796 of the family's 1831-position model. The record is from RNAcentral.
CCCUUAGAUGUUCGGGACCGCACGCGCGCUACACUGAAGGAAUCAGCACGUCUUUCUCCUUGUCCGAAAGGACUGGGUAACCCGCUGAACCUCCUUCGUGCUAGGGAUUGGGGCUUGUAAUUCUUCCCCAUGAACGAGGAAUUCCCAGUAAGCGCGAGUCAUAAGCUCGCGUUGAUUACGUCCCUGCCCUUUGUACACACCGCCCGUCGCUACUACCGAUUGGAUGGUUUAGUGAGAUCCUCGGAUUGGUCCCGGAGCGGCCUCUGGUCGUGCCGGAGUGCCGAAAAGAAUGUCGAACUUGAUCAUCUAGAGGAAGUAAAAGUCGUAACA